GACGAACGCUGGCGGCGUGCCUAAUACAUGCGAGUAGAACGCUGAAGGAGGAGCUUGCUUCUCUGGAUGAGUUGCGAACGGGUGAGUAACGCGUAGGUAACCUGCCUGGUAGCGGGGGAUAACUAUUGGAAACGAUAGCUAAUACCGCAUAAUAGCAGUUGUUGCAUGACAACUGUUUGAAAGGAGCAAUUGCACCACUACCAGAUGGACCUGCGUUGUAUUAGCUAGUUGGUGGGGUAACGGCUCACCAAGGCGACGAUACAUAGCCGACCUGAGAGGGGGAUCGGCCACACUGGGACUGAGACACGGCCCAGACUCCUACGGGAGGCAGCAGUAGGGAAUCUUCGGCAAUGGACGGAAGUCUGACCGAGCAACGCCGCGUGAGUGAAGAAGGUUUUCGGAUCGUAAAGCUCUGUUGUAAGAGAAGAACGAGUGUGAGAGUGGAAAGUUCACACUGUGACGGUAUCUUACCAGAAAGGGACGGCUAACUACGUG
This 495-nucleotide ribosomal RNA is filed under the name uncultured bacterium. RNAcentral describes it as "partial 16S ribosomal RNA". It matches the Rfam family "Bacterial small subunit ribosomal RNA", at positions 28 to 507 of the family's 1533-position model. The record is from RNAcentral.